RNAcentral lists this ribosomal RNA (492 nucleotides) under uncultured bacterium. RNAcentral's name for it is "partial 16S ribosomal RNA". It matches the Rfam family "Bacterial small subunit ribosomal RNA", at positions 29 to 507 of the family's 1533-position model. The record is from RNAcentral.
AGUGAACGCUGGCGGUAGGCCUAACACAUGCCAGUCGAACGGCAGCACAGUAAGAGCUUGCUCUUACGGGUGGCGAGUGGCGGACGGGUGAGGAAUACAUCGGAAUCUACUUUUUCGUGGGGGAUAACGUAGGGAAACUUACGCUAAUACCGCAUACGACCUACGGGUGAAAGCAGGGGAUCUUCGGACCUUGCGCGAUUGAAUGAGCCGAUGUCGGAUUAGCUAGUUGGCGGGGUAAAGGCCCACCAAGGCGACGAUCCGUAGCUGGUCUGAGAGGAUGAUCAGCCACACUGGAACUGAGACACGGUCCAGACUCCUACGGGAGGCAGCAGUGGGGAAUAUUGGACAAUGGGCGCAAGCCUGAUCCAGCCAUACCGCGUGGGUGAAGAAGGCCUUCGGGUUGUAAAGCCCUUUUGUUGGGAAAGAAAAGCAGCAGGUUAAUACCCCGCUGUUCUGACGGUAACCAAAGAAUAAGCACCGGCUAACUUCGUG